CAGUCGCCGCGGUAAUACGUAGGGUGCAAGCGUUAAUCGGAAUUACUGGGCGUAAAGCGUGCGCAGGCGGUUUUGUAAGACAGAGGUGAAAUCCCCGGGCUCAACCUGGGAACUGCCUUUGUGACUGCAAGGCUGGAGUGCGGCAGAGGGGGAUGGAAUUCCGCGUGUAGCAGUGAAAUGCGUAAAUAUGCGGAGGAACACCGAUGGCGAAGGCAAUCCCCUGGGCCUGCACUGACGCUCAUGCACGAAAGCGUGGGGAGCAGACAGGAUUAGAUACCCCGGUAGUCCCUGUCUCUUAUAC
RNAcentral lists this ribosomal RNA (301 nucleotides) under uncultured bacterium. RNAcentral describes it as "partial 16S ribosomal RNA". It matches the Rfam family "Bacterial small subunit ribosomal RNA", at positions 509 to 807 of the family's 1533-position model. The record is from RNAcentral.